GCUGUACAUGGGGAACGACUGGAUGCUGUCCUGGUGGCUGAAUACCUUGAAUUCUAUCUGAGGGUUUUGUUUCAUUGUGGACAAGGAGGUUAGAGCUACCUAAUUUAUUUGCAAGUUACUUUUUUUUUUCAUGGUUAUGACUAGUACCAGUGUCUUAAUAACUGCAAGUGUAUUUUGAUAAAGCAAGCUAAAAUUUCAGGGUUUCUAAAAACCAAAGUGAAUGGCAACAUGUUUACCACAAUUAUCACAGCAAAGGUCUGGAAGUGGCCUAAGCUCUCAGAUGCAUGGAGGAAGGACUUGGCUACAGGGCUGUCUGCAUCACCCUCCAAGCCUGAGAUGUGGGCUCCUAACACCCCAUGUUUGAUAGGAGCCUUUAGUGACCUGCGUGCUGUCUCCUUAUCAUUCUACUGUACAGAGUCUAAUUCGCAUCACAGGAACAUACACUUCAGGUUUAGAAAAGCCUGUCUGUCUUCCUCCAGGGCCAUAGAAGCAGGGGAAGGAGGAGGAUUUCAAAAAGAGGUUUAUUGACUUUAUAGUUCUGGAGACAAAGAAGUUCAAGAUUGAGUGGCUGUAUGUGGCAAGGACCUCACACUGUCAUGACGUGAUUAAAGGCUUCACACAGUGGGGGUGCGUGUGAGAAGAGUGUGCGGGCUCCUGCAGAAGAGAGGAGGGAGAGGGUGAGCGAGAUGCUUCAUGACAACUUGCUCUCUCAGUGACUGACCCCUGCUCACAGGAAUACAUUAAUCCCUCAUUAGUGCAGAGCCCUCAUGACCUAAUUACCUCUUGAGUAAGUCAGCUUUGCCUCACUGUGAUCCAAAGACCUGGCAAGAACAACUUGGAGGAGGAAAAGUUUAUCUGGGGUUCAUGAUUUCAAAGGUUCAGUCCACGAUUGGCCAGCUCCAUAGCUCUGGGCCACAGGUGAGGCAGAAGAAUGUCAUGUCAAAAGGGUGUGGUGGAGGAAAGUUGUCCCGUUUAUGACAGUCAGGAAGCAGAGAGCUUGCUCACCAGGGACAAAUAUAAACCCCAAAGACAUUCCCCCAGUGUCCUCCUUCAUUUUGCCACAUCCUACCUGCCUAUGGUCACCACCCAGUUAAUCCAUUCAAGUGAAUUGAUCCACCCAUUAGGUUGCAGCUCUCCUAAUCUAAUCAUUUCACCUCUAAAAAUUCUUGCAUUGUGUCACGAGGUUUUGGAAGACACCUCCUAUCCAAAUCCUAACACCUCUUAGAGGCCCCGUGCCUCUCAACACUGACAUCGGCAAUCAGAUCUCACCAUGACUACUGAUGGGGACAUGCCACAUCCAAACCAUAGUGAGUCGCUUGCCCACUUCCUGGUGAUGCAGGUAGGGGAGUUACUUGUGGCAAUGACAAGACAUCUAUGCAGCAUUAGAGGUGACAGCCAGGCAUAGAUAAGCCUUCUCAUAGGAGCAAGGGGCCAAAUGCUGAGGUUGAGAAAGGGAGUGAGAUGCACGAUACAAUAUCAUUGAUAUAAACUAAAACACCCACCUCAAAGGAUGGAUUCAGGGCAGCCACCACAUUCCAGGAAGUCUACUCAGCAUAAGGGAGUAGAUGCCUCAGAUAGGAAGGAAGAUAGGGGGUGGGAGUAGAAGUUCAGGGAAGAAAAAACAGGUGAGACCAGAACACUGUUAGCACUGUCUAGACAAUGUCACUGAUGCCAUGAUUAGAUAUGCAGGCUUUGUUUGGAAGGAGGGGAGGGAAAGUGUAAUGGAAGCUGUGAGGAGACCGAGCCAGUCUCAAGGCAGUGUCCUCCCUUACCCAUCUGGGAUGCCUCUGGACCUGUGGUGUGGAGAAGCCUCAUUUUGGAUGAGUUGUGGGGAGAAAGGGAGGAAGGAUGAGGGAGUUUGUCUGUUGUCCUCCUGUCCUCUGGGCAGACGGGCACCUUUGCCUGAGUCUUUCUGGCAGCUUCUCAUCUCUGAGUCUGGAUGUGGCAGGGGGAGCCCAAGGCCCUGGGCGUGGCUGGUUGGCUGCCCCCAAGGUCCUGGGUGUGGCUGGUUGGCUGCCCAAGCAGAACUGCACACCGUGGGUGGGUGGGUGUGCUGAUGGACGGGCGUGUUAGUUAGCCUUUUGGUGCUGUGACCAAAAUACCUGACAUGAACAAUUUAAAGGAGGAAAGGUUUAUUUUGACUCAUGGUUUCAGAGGUCUUGGUCCCCCGAUGGCUUUCUCUGAGGCAGAAACAUCAUGAAGGAAGGGCAUGGUAUGGCUGAGGAACGCUUCUCAGCUCAGAGAAGUCACCAAGCUGAGGGAGUGUGUGUGGAGUGGGUGGUGGGCAAGGACAGCUAUAGUGCCUAACAUGCUUGCAGUCACCACCCAAGUAGUCCAUUCAAAUUAUGAAUCCAUCCCAUAGUAAUCCACUGAUGAUGUUAUAGCCCCCAGGAUCUAGUGAUUUCCUAAAACCCCAUCUCUGAGUCUUGUUGCUCUGGAGGGCCAUGCUUUCAAUACACAAGUUUUGGGGGACAUUCUAGAUCCAAACCAAAACAGCAGGGGAGCAUGAGGUCGAAGGUCAAGAGGGCCAGAGAAAAUGCCCAUUGAGGUCAACGUUGCCUGGUAUGAUGGAGAGCCAAGGAGUAUGCACUGAGUAAAGGAGUCCAACUCCCCUGGCUAGAGAGUAAGCACAAGGCCAGAGAGAGAGUGGAUUAGAUCAGACCGACAUGAACUCAAGUCCUUGAACAAAUUAUGGAACUGCCCAGGCUUACUUUCCCCAUCAACAGCAUGGGGAUUAGCAGAGUGUUUGCCUCACAAGAGAUUUGUGAUCUAAUGUGCCUGAUGCCUGGGUGACACUCAGCAAGCACAGGCCUGCCAUGGAACACCAGUUACUCGGCCCCACUCUGCAUCCAGGUUCAUGGCAAUUCCCAGCCUACCUUGUCCUGAUCUCCAUAGCAUUACAACAUAGGAUUGGAACUGGUGCCCCUCUCCCAGGGAGAACCCAUCCAGAAUGAUUGCUCCUUUCCAACCAGGCACACCAUUUAUUUUUUUCUCCUGAGGUUUCUGUGUUUUGACAUUUGAUUACAUCCAGCUUCACACUCAGAGUUCUCUGUCUACUAAACACUAAUUAUUUCAUGUGUCCUGAAACAAGAGACAACAAAAGCCACUUACUGGGUUAAUUGGGAUUUGUUUUACCCUCAGCCCACUUCUUGUGCAGGUGGGUGUAAUUCUAUCUCUGUUCAUUACUUCAGCCGUCUUUUUAUCAGGCAUUAUACAGGGCUUGCUGUGAUCGAGGUGCAGCGUGUGUAGGUGGGUUCCAGAAGACUCCGUCUCU
This 3274-nucleotide long non-coding RNA is filed under the name Marmota monax (woodchuck). The record is from RNAcentral. Lineage: Eukaryota; Metazoa; Chordata; Mammalia; Rodentia; Sciuridae.